UAUCAACAGGCAACCCAACUUCGGCUUGCAGGGCUUCCUUCAAAAGAGGCUUUGCAUCCGUCACCUAACAAUCACCAAUCCUAAAUUUGUUAUCGCUGGCCAGAAGGAUGGUAAGAACAGAAAGAAAAUCAAUGUUUAUUGUUCUAAAGAUCUUACAGUGGUAGCAUCAAAUUUGACAUUGAUGUAUUUGUCUGUAGAUGGAUUCCACUCUUGCACAUCCAUGCCAUUUACAAUUCCGAUGAUUCCAGUCAUCCGAAGUAUGUUCUCUAAUUCCACACCUUUCUCCACGCCGGAUACAAGUUCCUCAGCAUAGUAUGGGCUCACAGUUACAACCCUGUCUGAUUCUGAUAUGCCAGCCUUCAUCCAGUUAAUCUUCCUUCCUUUCACAGGUUUGUCAUAUCUGCAAAAUUUUUUUAAGAAAAAAGUGUCAUGAACUGUAUACAUCUAACAGGAACUAGGAGUAUCUAAAGUUUUAGUACCCAUCAAUAAAAUCAAAAGAUCUCUUGAACUGGUCUGGAAGAUUUAGAAGUGAAAAAUCUGCAAUUGCAAAUCUCCCUUGGUAGGCAAUGUUGUGAAUGCAGAAAGCUACCUGGAAGCAUUAUGAAGGGUUAAGUGAGCUUUCCAGCAACUGGAAAGAUA
Molecule: long non-coding RNA, 639 nt
Filed under: Ricinus communis (castor bean)
Lineage: Eukaryota; Viridiplantae; Streptophyta; Magnoliopsida; Malpighiales; Euphorbiaceae
Description: long non-coding RNA (RCOM_LNC001761)
Source: RNAcentral